CCUACGGGAGGCAGCAGUGGGGAAUAUUGGGCAAUGGGCGCAAGUCUGACCCAGCAACGCCGCGUGAAGGAAGAAGGCUUUCGGGUUGUAAACCUCUUUUUUCAGGGACGUAGCAAGUGACGGUACCUGAGGAAUAAGCCACGGCUAACUACGUGCCAGCAGCCGCGGUAAUACGUCGGUGGCAAGCGUUAUCCGGAUUUACUGGGUGUAAAGGGUGUGUAGGCGGGAAGGUAAGUCAGAUGUGAAAACCAUGGGCUCAACCUGUGGCCUGCAAUUGAUACUGUUAUUCUUGAGUACUGGAGAGGCAGGCGGAAUUCGUGGUGUAGCGGUGAAAUGCGUAGAUAUUAGGAGGAACACCAGUGGCGAAGGCGGUCUGCUGGACAGCAACUGACGCUGAGGCGCGAAAGCGUGGGGAGCAAACAGGAUUAGAUACCCGAGUAGUC
RNAcentral lists this ribosomal RNA (443 nucleotides) under uncultured bacterium. RNAcentral's name for it is "partial 16S ribosomal RNA". It matches the Rfam family "Bacterial small subunit ribosomal RNA", at positions 338 to 795 of the family's 1533-position model. The record is from RNAcentral.